This 74-nucleotide transfer RNA is filed under the name Crassvirales sp. RNAcentral describes it as "tRNA-Gly". It matches the Rfam family "tRNA". Rfam says of the family: Transfer RNA (tRNA) molecules are approximately 80 nucleotides in length. Their secondary structure includes four short double-helical elements and three loops (D, anti-codon, and T loops). Lineage: Duplodnaviria; Heunggongvirae; Uroviricota; Caudoviricetes; Crassvirales. The record is from RNAcentral.
GCAGGUAUAGUAUAAUGGUUAAUAUGCCAGACUUCCAAUCUGGAUAUGAGAGUUCGAUUCUCUCUAUCUGCUCA